RNAcentral lists this long non-coding RNA (236 nucleotides) under Coturnix japonica (Japanese quail). RNAcentral describes it as "lncRNA (ENSCJPG00005009545.1)". The record is from RNAcentral. Lineage: Eukaryota; Metazoa; Chordata; Aves; Galliformes; Phasianidae.
GGAAAAAAGAGGCUCCCUAGUACACCUGAAGCACUACAGCAGAGUGAUAUGAAACUGAUGACCAGAGCAACUCAUAAAAACAUUUAAAGGUAGUAGAAAUCUUUGACAUCUGAAGUGGAUGAGAAGAAAAGGGAGGAGAUGAUUUACUGUGCCGUGAUGCAAAGAAAGAAGAGCAGGAUAGAUCCCAGAUAACUUGCCUGCUUAUUGGUUGGCCUGCUGUGAAGGGCAGGAAAUAA